Molecule: long non-coding RNA, 566 nt
Filed under: Brachypodium distachyon (stiff brome)
Lineage: Eukaryota; Viridiplantae; Streptophyta; Magnoliopsida; Poales; Poaceae
Description: long non-coding RNA (BDIS_LNC003983)
Source: RNAcentral
UGAGGUACGAAUUGUUAGGGUUGCGAGUUUACAUUCCAACAUGUUUCGACUGUGGAGUUGUUAUGGGACUUCUGUAUCUUCUGCCUUCCGCUGCAAGAUUUUAUUUUCUUUUGAGAUAACCCAUGAGGUUAUGCAAUAUGUAAGUUACUACUAAAUUCUGGAUCAAUGCGAUGUAAUAUACUUUUGACCUUUGUAUCUUGAUAUUACAUCGUGAAACUGUGUGUGCUAGCGAGUCGAUCCAGGGACUAGCACAGUAAGCACAGAGAUCGAACCCUUGGUGAAGGGGGAUCGCUUCAAUUUUUUAAUGUUAGAAUGCAUUUUUUUACUUGUAAUGAUUUUUUUUACUCAAUGGUUUGGUGCUACUUGUAGAUUGGCACAGUGAGAGUGACUGCGUCAAUCUCAUCACAACGUUGUCGACGAUUGAUGCUUUCAAGCCAUACUAGUGGAGAAUGGUAGAUUCUUCAUUUUAAUGGGUUAAUGUAUUCUUCGAUUGAUCUAUGAACCUAAUUAAGCUACUGUUGUGAUCAUGUAGAGUUUUGGGAACCUAAUUUAACUCCUGUGAUGAU